Molecule: ribosomal RNA, 437 nt
Rfam family: Bacterial small subunit ribosomal RNA
ACGGGAGGCAGCAGUGGGGAAUAUUGGGCAAUGGGCGAAAGCCUGACCCAGCAACGCCGCGUGAAGGAAGAAGGUCUUCGGAUUGUAAACUUCUUUUAUGAGGGACGAAGGACGUGACGGUACCUCAUGAAUAAGCCACGGCUAACUACGUGCCAGCAGCCGCGGUAAUACGUAGGUGGCAAGCGUUAUCCGGAUUUACUGGGUGUAAAGGGCGCGUAGGCGGGGAUGCAAGUCAGGUGUGAAAUCUAUGGGCUUAACUCAUAAACUGCAUUUGAAACUGUAUCUCUUGAGUGCUGGAGAGGUAGAUGGAAUUCCUUGUGUAGCGGUGAAAUGCGUAGAUAUAUGGAAGAACACCAGUGGCGAAGGCGGCUUGCUGGUCCGAUACUGACGUUGAGGCACGAAAGCGUGGGGAGCAAACAGGAUUAGAUACCCUGGUA